CACGGGGGGAGCAAGCGUUGUUCGGAAUCACUGGGCGUAAAGGGCGUCUAGGCGGUCAGAUAAGUGGGAUGUGAAAUGCCCCGGCUCACCCGGGGACCGGCAUCCCAAACUGUCUGGCUUGAGUAUGGGAGAGGACGUGGGAAUUCCUGGUGUAGCGGUGAAAUGCGUAGAUAUCAGGAGGAACACCUAUGGCGAAGGCGGAUCUCUGGGCCUUACCUGACGCUCAGGCGCGAAAGCUAGGGGAGCGAACAGG
RNAcentral lists this ribosomal RNA (253 nucleotides) under uncultured bacterium. RNAcentral's name for it is "partial 16S ribosomal RNA". It matches the Rfam family "Bacterial small subunit ribosomal RNA", at positions 524 to 776 of the family's 1533-position model. The record is from RNAcentral.